UCGAGAGUUUGAUCCUGGCUCAGAUUGAACGCUGGCGGCAUGCCUUACACAUGCAAGUCGAACGGCAGCACGGGUGCUUGCACCUGGUGGCGAGUGGCGAACGGGUGAGUAAUAUAUCGGAACGUACCUUAUCGUGGGGGAUAACGCAGCGAAAGUUGCGCUAAUACCGCAUACGCCCUGAGGGGGAAAGCGGGGGACCGUAAGGCCUCGCGCGAUUAGAGCGGCCGAUGUCUGAUUAGCUUGUUGGUGAGGUAAAAGCUCACCAAGGCGAUGAUCAGUAGCUGGUCUGAGAGGACGAUCAGCCACACUGGGACUGAGACACGGCCCAGACUCCUACGGGGAGGCAGCAGUGGGGGAAUAUUGGGGCAAUGGGGCGAAAGCCCUGAUGCAGCAACGCCGCGUGAGGGAUGAAGGCCUU
This 418-nucleotide ribosomal RNA is filed under the name uncultured Polynucleobacter sp. Its description in RNAcentral is "bacterial SSU rRNA". It matches the Rfam family "Bacterial small subunit ribosomal RNA", at positions 1 to 418 of the family's 1533-position model. Lineage: Bacteria; Pseudomonadati; Pseudomonadota; Betaproteobacteria; Burkholderiales; Burkholderiaceae. The record is from RNAcentral.